UGAUGUGAUAAUUUAUAAAAAUCAUAAUCACAAAUUGAUAAAAACCAAUUAAUUGCCAAUGGCACAACCGGCUUCGAAUCCUCCUUACCAGUUGGUGGGAAACCCUCCUCGAGGAGUUCUUCUGACGCUCCUACCUAAGAGUGGACCUCUACUGACCUCCCUAGCAUGUCACUAACGUCCUGCUCGGUAGUCUGGAUGUGCUUUCUCUCUGUUCUACCAUUUUUUAACAAUUUUUUUUUUGAUAAAAACCAAUUUAAUAUAUUGAAUAUAAUCCACCAAUGGAUAAAAAAGCACACUAACCUUGAAAUUCUAGCACACAUUUCAGAAGCAAAAGCUAGAAUUUUAAUUUUCCUGCACCUGGAAAUAAAAACUGAAAAAAAUAAGGAUCCAUUACAAAGUGAAAACAACAAAAUUACUAUACUAUAGAUGACUUAAAAUAAUACUCACAUUCUAUACAGAAAGUACUAAAAGCCACACUAAGUGUAAUUUCAAAUUCCAAAUGGAACGAAACAUCCUUUAGUUUAAUACCACAAUGAACAAUAUAUAUCCUGCAAAAGUAUGUAUGGUAAAAAGUAAUGGAUUAAAGAACUCUCUAUUGUAAAGUAGUAGAUUGUUCUCAACUCACAACUUAAAAAAUAAUAGUGAGGAAGAUCCAAGGCAAUUUGAAAACUAAUGCACCAAGUACUGUGAUGAGAACAACACAUGGCGAGUGAAGAUUAAUGACAAUGACAAAAAAGAAGGUGGUGCAGUGAAUAAGUGGUAGUGAAUAUUUUCACAUGGCUAUAUAUAGAGUUCUUUGGACUCAAUAUUGUAAGAAGAAGGUGAAAGAUGAAAGCUGCAUCUAAGAGAAAAUGAAAGGGCAAAGAGAAGAGGAAAGAUGAAACUUGC
This 888-nucleotide long non-coding RNA is filed under the name Lotus japonicus. Its description in RNAcentral is "long non-coding RNA (LJAP_LNC000676)". The record is from RNAcentral. Lineage: Eukaryota; Viridiplantae; Streptophyta; Magnoliopsida; Fabales; Fabaceae.